This 2028-nucleotide ribosomal RNA is filed under the name Vibrio parahaemolyticus AQ4037. Its description in RNAcentral is "bacterial LSU rRNA". It matches the Rfam family "Bacterial large subunit ribosomal RNA", at positions 918 to 2925 of the family's 2925-position model. Lineage: Bacteria; Pseudomonadati; Pseudomonadota; Gammaproteobacteria; Vibrionales; Vibrionaceae. The record is from RNAcentral.
GCUAGGGGGUCAUCCCGACUUACCAACCCUUUGCAAACUCCGAAUACCAGUAAGUACUAUCCGGGAGACACACGGCGGGUGCUAACGUCCGUCGUGGAGAGGGAAACAACCCAGACCGCCAGCUAAGGUCCCAAAUUACUACUAAGUGGGAAACGAUGUGGGAAGGCUCAGACAGCCAGGAUGUUGGCUUAGAAGCAGCCAUCAUUUAAAGAAAGCGUAAUAGCUCACUGGUCGAGUCGGCCUGCGCGGAAGAUGUAACGGGGCUAAGUAGUAAACCGAAGCUGCGGCAAUGUGCUUUUGCACAUUGGGUAGGGGAGCGUUCUGUAAGCGGUUGAAGGUGUGUGGUAACGCAUGCUGGACGUAUCAGAAGUGCGAAUGCUGACAUGAGUAACGAUAAAGGGGGUGAAAAACCUCCUCGCCGGAAGACCAAGGGUUCCUGUCCAACGUUAAUCGGGGCAGGGUAAGUCGACCCCUAAGGCGAGGCCGAAAGGCGUAGUCGAUGGGAAACGGGUUAAUAUUCCCGUACUUCUUACAAUUGCGAUGGGGGGACGGAGAAGGCUAGGUGGGCCUGGCGACGGUUGUCCAGGUUCAAGUGCGUAGGCUUAAGAGUUAGGUAAAUCCGGCUCUUUUUAAGGCUGAGACACGACGUCGAGCAUCUACGGAUGUGAAGUCAUUGAUGCCAUGCUUCCAGGAAAAGCCUCUAAGCUUCAGAUUGUAAGGAAUCGUACCCCAAACCGACACAGGUGGUCGGGUAGAGAAUACCAAGGCGCUUGAGAGAACUCGGGUGAAGGAACUAGGCAAAAUGGUACCGUAACUUCGGGAGAAGGUACACUCUCGACGGUGAAGUCCCUCGCGGAUGGAGCUAUUGAGAGUCGCAGAUACCAGGUGGCUGCAACUGUUUAUUAAAAACACAGCACUGUGCAAAAUCGUAAGAUGACGUAUACGGUGUGACGCCUGCCCGGUGCCGGAAGGUUAAUUGAUGGGGUUAGACUUCGGUCGAAGCUCUUGAUCGAAGCCCCGGUAAACGGCGGCCGUAACUAUAACGGUCCUAAGGUAGCGAAAUUCCUUGUCGGGUAAGUUCCGACCUGCACGAAUGGCGUAAUGAUGGCCACGCUGUCUCCACCCGAGACUCAGUGAAAUUGAAAUCGCUGUGAAGAUGCAGUGUACCCGCGGCUAGACGGAAAGACCCCGUGAACCUUUACUACAGCUUGGCACUGAACAUUGACCCUACAUGUGUAGGAUAGGUGGGAGGCUUUGAAGCACGUACGCCAGUAUGUGUGGAGCCGUCCUUGAAAUACCACCCUUGUAGUGUUGAUGUUCUAACGUCGACCCCUUAUCGGGGUUGCGGACAGUGCCUGGUGGGUAGUUUGACUGGGGCGGUCUCCUCCCAAAGAGUAACGGAGGAGCACGAAGGUGGGCUAAUCACGGUUGGACAUCGUGAGGUUAGUGCAAUGGCAUAAGCCCGCUUGACUGCGAGAAUGACAAUUCGAGCAGGUGCGAAAGCAGGUCAUAGUGAUCCGGUGGUUCUGAAUGGAAGGGCCAUCGCUCAACGGAUAAAAGGUACUCCGGGGAUAACAGGCUGAUACCGCCCAAGAGUUCAUAUCGACGGCGGUGUUUGGCACCUCGAUGUCGGCUCAUCACAUCCUGGGGCUGAAGUCGGUCCCAAGGGUAUGGCUGUUCGCCAUUUAAAGUGGUACGCGAGCUGGGUUUAGAACGUCGUGAGACAGUUCGGUCCCUAUCUGCCGUGGGCGUUGGAAGAUUGAAGGGGGCUGCUCCUAGUACGAGAGGACCGGAGUGGACGAACCUCUGGUGUUCGGGUUGUGUCGCCAGACGCAUUGCCCGGUAGCUAAGUUCGGAAUCGAUAACCGCUGAAAGCAUCUAAGCGGGAAGCGAGCCCUGAGAUGAGUCUUCCCUGAUACUUUAAGUAUCCUAAAGGGUUGUCGGAGACUACGACGUUGAUAGGUCAGGUGUGUAAGUGCUGUGAGGCAUUGAGCUAACUGAUACUAAUUGCCCGUGAGGCUUAACCAU